Molecule: long non-coding RNA, 529 nt
Filed under: Heterocephalus glaber (naked mole-rat)
Lineage: Eukaryota; Metazoa; Chordata; Mammalia; Rodentia; Bathyergidae
Description: lncRNA (ENSHGLG00100036081.1)
Source: RNAcentral
CAAGCGCCACAGAGGCCUGGACGUUGCAGUCUCGGGUGGCCCCAGGACCCUGCCUUGCGUGGGACGCUCCCGGGACCUGGAAUUAUCACUCUGAGAAGACGGGGUGGGGGAGCCGAGGGGGCCCAAUACCCCAUGCCGAAAGGCUGCCUGGCGCGGGCCUGCCCUCCGCGCCCGAGGAAGGGCUCCGGGGCGUGCAGAGCUUUGGUCAAGAUCAAAGCAAAGGAAGCUGGAAUUAAAGAAGAGAAAGGAAAAAGCAAGAACAAGGAAAACAAAUCAAAGACAAGACAACAUCCUGGCCGGCCGCCCGGACAGAGCCCUGCGACUCAGGGUCCCCCAUGUCCCUCCAGAGGCUGAGCACGGCCCCAGUAUGGACAGACAGAUAUUGCAUAUAUGGACGGGUUUUUGUCUUUCAUAGCAGACGCUCUUCAUUUUCAUAGCUGGAAGACGGAGUUCGGGGACUAGGGCGCGGAGGCCCCCCCAGGCUGUCUCGGGAUUGGUGGGAAGUAAGGUGCUUUAGUGAGGAGGACGG